Morone saxatilis (striped sea-bass) is the source of this 712-nucleotide long non-coding RNA. RefSeq lists it as uncharacterized. Lineage: Eukaryota; Metazoa; Chordata; Actinopteri; Moronidae. The transcript is spliced from 5 exons. The record is from RefSeq and is a predicted model, not a curated record.
GCCUCCUCGGGUACCGUAGUUCUUUGGCAGCAUGGCAGCAGAGAGGGAGACUCGUUUCUGCGUUCAGUCUUUUCAAGCUUCACCUCAUUGCAGCAGAAAUGACCCGAGCAGGUCAGUUCUGCAUGAAGAAGGCUGACCAGAGAGGAGUCACACAAACUAGUCACAUGGAGUCAGCACCAUGAUGACUUGUAUGAUCAACUGAGAUGAAGAAACUAAAGAUGACCUGCCUGAACAAAAACAACUUGUUUUAAAUCUCAAUCCCCCUCUUUCCCCUGUACAGUUAAUAAGUGGUAAUGGGGGAGACUUUUGAUGGAUGGUGACUGAAGACUCUGGGAGCUGCCUGAAUUCAAUCCCUCAACGCUCGAGAAUGAAUCCUGAGAUUGGAGUUGAAUUCCUCGCCAGGCUGAGAACUUCAGAGCUGGCUGUGUGAAGAUGGAGGUUCUUGUUGUCCGGGACCCAGCGGGGGGUUUGAGAGCUGGUUGAUUAAGACUCAAAUUCAAGAUCCUGACGAUGACUGGUCUACUUUAUUGGUUCCCCAAAUCCUUUUAUCCAAAUGUCACCGCGGGCCAGAAAACUGCUGCGUCGAGCGACUGGAACAAACCUGAAUCAUGAAACUACAGUUUUUAAAUGCACAAUGGUGUCUGAAUAUUAAAGCUACUGUCUGCAUCAAACUGUAAACUUGUUUUAAUAAACCGUAACUGAGUUAACUCUU